AUUGAACGCUGGCGGCAGGCCUAACACAUGCAAGUCGAGCGGAUGAAGGGAGCUUGCUCCUGGAUUCAGCGGCGGACGGGUGAGUAAUGCCUAGGAAUCUGCCUGGUAGUGGGGGAUAACGUCCGGAAACGGGCGCUAAUACCGCAUACGUCCUGAGGGAGAAAGUGGGGGAUCUUCGGACCUCACGCUAUCAGAUGAGCCUAGGUCGGAUUAGCUAGUUGGUGGGGUAAAGGCCUACCAAGGCGACGAUCCGUAACUGGUCUGAGAGGAUGAGCAGUCACCCUGGAACUGAGCCACGGUCCAGACUCCUACGGGAGGCAGCAGUGGGGAAUAUUGGACAAUGGGCGAAAGCCUGAUCCAGCCAUGCCGCGUGUGUGAAGAAGGUCUUCGGAUUGUAAAGCACUUUAAGUUGGGAGGAAGGGCAGUAAGUUAAUACCUUGCUGUUUUGACGUUACCAACAGAAUAAGCACCGGCUAACUUCGUG
Molecule: ribosomal RNA, 484 nt
Filed under: uncultured bacterium
Lineage: Bacteria
Description: partial 16S ribosomal RNA
Rfam family: Bacterial small subunit ribosomal RNA
Source: RNAcentral